This 5860-nucleotide long non-coding RNA is filed under the name Sus scrofa (pig). RNAcentral's name for it is "lncRNA (ENSSSCG00030039137.1)". The record is from RNAcentral. Lineage: Eukaryota; Metazoa; Chordata; Mammalia; Artiodactyla; Suidae.
UUUUUUUUUUAUCUUUUUUUUUUUUUUGUCUUUCUCUCUUUUUAAGGCUGCACCCAUGGCAUAUGGAGGUUCCCAGGAUAGGGGUCCAAUUGGAGCUGUAGCCAUCAGCCUACACCAGGGUCACAGCAACGUGAGAUCUGAGCCACAUCUGCACCCUAUACCACAGCUCACGGCAAUGCCGGAUCCUUAACCCAAUGAGCGGGGCCAGGGUUCAAACCUGCAUCCUCAUGGAUACCAGUCAUGUUCAUUAACUGCUGAGCCACAACGGGAACUCCCUGAGGUUUGUAAGCUUUGACUCUGAUAUUGUUUAGCACUGAAAGUGUGUACUUGGUUUCAAAGAAAAACACUAGUAUUAUUUGAUUUUUUUUUUUUUUUGCAAACCUCUUUCAGUAUCAGUUUAUUUAUUGAAAAUUCCAGGAAGCUACAAAGUGCCAUCUGUUUCCUUAUCAAAUUUCACCCCCACAAUCACAGGCAAAUAUCAUUGCUUUUUUUAUUUGUGAGGUUGCUUAGAAACAACGUGGCUGUAUUUACAGGUCAGCUGUGAUGGAGUCCCUGAUGAUGAGCCCGGUGCAAGUAAAUAAAUAAUAAAAAAAUAAAUAAAGAAAAAGCUUGCCACAUUCUGAAAAUCAACUUUUAAUCCAGAAACUGCCAAGAACCAGCUUCUCCAGGCAGCAUCUCAUGCACAGACACUCACGUUUAGGAUACUGUCUUCUUUGAGCCCCAUCAUCAAUAGCUACAUGACCUGAUGGCUCAGUUUCCUGUUAAUUAGAACAUUUAACACUGGGAUGCCUUUGCAGGGGGUUUUCCAAAAGUGUGAGCAGUGUACAAUAUGCUUUUUCAGCCUUAGGAGAUUGAGCUGACUAUGAAGAGUCCCUCCCAAAUGGAUUUCUUUACCUGAAAAUGGUCAGAUCUCUGCCAGCCCACUAGGGGAAAGUCAAUAUUCUAAUUCCAUUAGCGUCAGUGGAAACAGAGGUAGGUGUGAACAGGGCAGCAAAUGUCACAACAUACUCUAAGAUGGCCUCUCUUGGGAAAAAGAAAAAGUGGAAAAAAAAGGAAAAAGCAACAACAGUAAUGAAAUAAAACACUGACAUGACUGAUAUAAAUGUUUAAUUAAGAGAAAAAUACCAUCUUGAAAAAAAAAGUCAACCCAUCUUUUUUGCAGCAUAAUUUUGCCAAGUUGUUGAUCAAACCAACCUAUUCCAUUUAAAAUGGCCAAGAAACUCUCUUGCAGCUUCUAAAAUAGAAAAUAGUUUCAUGGGUAGUUUUGAAAUUAAUGCGGGACCUAUGUUGACACAGACACUAUUCCAAAUACCUGGCACAGAACUGAAAUAUCAGCAUUAAGCAUGAUAUUUAAUCAGUUCUGAAUGAUUGGAUACAUUAUGCUGUAUGCUCAAAUUCUGAUGUGGAUACAAACAUCUUGCUAACCAAUUAUGUCCUUUAAAGCAUCAACUCUAUAUGGUUCAGUUAUUCUUCCCCCAUAACCUAUGCUUUUUUUUUUUUGUUUUCAAUAUUUUGCUUUCUGCCUGAAUUUAUUUACUUUUCAAAGCUGCUCUGGGCACCUGCCACAGGCCUGACAUGAUAAAAGAUACUUCACAUAAGUUUGAUCUUCUUAAGAGCUCCAUGAUAGAGUUCUUAGGCUUUCCAUUUGCAGAUGAGGAAACUGACACUCCAGAGCUUAAUAGUUUUCUCUUCACUUGUUUGAUUACAAAAUAGAUGGUCUCUUCACCACAUCACAGAACAAUCCAUUCAUCAAGAUGCUUGGUGGCAAAGAUAAGGGAGUCCUGGGCCUUAUGCCAUAGAACGUGUGAGGCUCAGGGGUUUCCAGUUGAGGAGUGUAGGCAGUGAUCAAAACAAAGUGGAAUAGACAGCUCAUGGUGAAAGCACGUGCCCUAAGCUGCUAUGCCCUGGGAAUAUGGGCUUGAAAUUAGACCAGCGUCUGCUGGGAAAUUAGAAUCAAGGGCAGCUAGCAGAAAGAAACAGGCAAGAGGACCUUUGACACCAGUCUAAUCCUAAUCGAGUGGCUCUAUAUGAUGCUCGCCCCACUGUAUCUCCUCUGCUCAUACUUUCUGCAGACCACAUAACCCUUUGUGACCCUGUCAUUAUGGCCUAUGAUGUCUGAAAGAGUCUGAAAAGAGUAGCCGAGUUGCAUUUACUCUUGAUUAAACACACAUUCUGUGUCUCUUGCGUGAUACGAAGAGGUGACUCUUCCCAUUGGAUAAUAAGCUGGUGUAGGCAAAGUUCACAUUCAAAGACAUAUGGAAAAUCUCUCACCCCUUGGUCUUCCCUUCAACCUCAUUUUUGAAUCCUCUUCCAUUUCCUUCAGAGUCUUAUCUUAAUCUUCCUGUCCCUUGGGUCUGAGGCCUCAAAAUCCCAUUAAUAUUGAGCCCUCCCCCUCUUCAGAACAGAGCAUCUCCAAGAGACACAAAUCCUUCCUUUGCUGGAAAUGACGGACUCUCCCUCUUUGACAAUAAAUGCAUUCCUCUCUUCCAGAAGAAGAAAGAAGGAUUAAGAAGGACUGAGGAAAGAGAUUGAUGUCCUACCUCACUGCCCUAACUCUUGGAGUUGUGUCGCUAUGAAGAGUAGGAAGUAGGGGGGGGCUCCCCAGCCAAUGAUCCAGAGAAGGGGUCUGCCACGGCCACCUGAAAUUAAUGUGUGCUCUGAAAGCAAUGGGCUGCACUGAAUUCCAUGGCAGCAAGGAAGUCAAGGGUCACAUGUAGUUAUUUUCUGCAUUCAUUUAAUCAUCCUUUCAUACACUCAUUCAGCAUAUCAAGUGUCGACAGUGUGCAGCAAAACAAGCCAAGCAAAAGAAGAGUAAUAAUGAAUAAGAACAAAUGAGCAAAAGUAAAAAGUUAAACAAACUUGAACAUCAACAAGUGUCCUAGGUGUAUUAGGGAAGUGAGGUCACAGGGCAAAGUGUUCCCCUAGAAGUCAGAGAAACAAAAAAAUACUAAGAACCACAAAUUAUCAGAGAAGAAACAUCACAAGCAGAAACCUCUGCAGGAAAUAAUUCUGGGGUAGGAAAACUUAGACUGUAAUUGAUGAAUUGCUACAGGCUCAGUGUGGACAAGUCUAAGAUAAAAACUUCAGGGGGAACCAGUUACAUUCUCUUGAGUUUUUACAUCAAGGGAGAGCUCUACCGGGGCCUCACUGUUCCUAGAGAAAAAAGCUCAUCUGCUUCUAACAGGGGUUGGGGAAUAAAUAUUUUGAAAUACAGGAGGGAACUCCAUCCUCAAAAACAUCUGCUCUAAGGAGAAACCAUUUUACCAGAGCCUCAUCUGGUAUUUUUUUUCAGAUCCCAAUCUACUUGGAACAAGGGAACUAUCCAAUCAGCCUCCUCCAGCUGUCUUUUCCCACCUGAGAUGAAAACAAGAUAAAACUGAGAAGCACUGGAGUUCCCCUCGUGGUGCAGGGGAAAUGAAUCCCACUGGGAACCAUGAGGUUGCGGGUUUGAUCCCUGGCCUCGCUCAGUGGGUUAUGGAUCUUGCAUUGUCAUGAGCUGUAGUGUAAGUCACAGAUGCGGCUUGGAUCUGGCAUCGCUGUGGCUGUGGUGUAGGCUGACAGCAACAGCUCCAAUUAGACCCCUAACCUGGGAACCUCCAUAUGCUCACCAAAAGACCAAGACCUGUUCAUAGGAUUAUCGACUGCUCUGCCCUCUCCAUUAUCACUACAUUCCUAAAGACCUAGUUAGUACAGAAUUUUGUUUCUAACUUUAUCCUGUACAUCACAUUUGUCUUUCAACAACCACAGCAACAACAACAACAAAAUCACAGGGCACAAGACACAGUUUAAAGAUACUCAACAGGAUAGAUGUCAAGAUAACGGAGUAGGAGGACUCAUGACUCAUUUUCUGCAACAAAUGUAUCAAGACAACUACAUACAGAGCCACUCAGCUGAAACUGACCCAGAGACUAGCAGGGCUGCUCUUGUACACCUGUGGCUGUCAAGGAAGCACCACAUGAGCCUGGCAGGAAGGGAGGAGAAGGAAUCUGCUGAGCACCCACACUUCUUGGAAAGAACACUGAAGGUGAAGGGGAUAUCACACAUGUAGGAAUCUUUCCUGGGGAGCAAGGGGUUCGAGCCACAUAUUAGUGAUUCUAGGCUUAGAGUCUGACACCAGGAAGAUGACCCCCCUUAGCUGGAAUGUAAACCACUGGAACUUACUGAAGGGCCAUAAAAAACACCAAACUCUGCUCUUGGAGAGUCACAGUUCAGAAGCAUCAGAUGGAAAACUGCUCAGGGUUCCAGCCAGCUUGCAAGGACCACCCCAGCUCAUCCCCAAGCCCUCAGUGGGAUCCUGCUUCAGUCCCUCAUGCUCCUGCACUUCUCCCCACUAAGGCAGAAGCUUCCAUUGCCAACAAGAGUGACCCACGUGGAGAGAACUGCUCUGAUGCCAGAUGCCUUUGACCAAGUCCCAACCCAGCUGUUGGCCUGGGCAUGCCCAUCAGGGGAUAAUGAAACCAGCACAGAAGCCCAGCAGGAAGCCCUCAGUCCCCAACCAAAUGGAGACCACCCCCAUGCCGGAAGAAAUCCAACUCCUGUUCCAGCGUCUAUGGCCCCAACACCACCCCUAAAAAAGAAAUUAAAGUCAACUGAGCACAGGAGAAGCCCAGGGUGCACAUGGCUGUGGCCCUAACCCAUACAGCUCCAGCCUUACCUCCCCUCAAGGCACACUUGGAGGGAAAAUACAGCACAUGUUCACUUCAGAUCUAGCUCUCCCUACCCAGGCCACUAGACAGACAGACAGCAAAGGGACACUCUCGCACAAGGACACACCUUCAGGACUGAGAUAGGUAACUGUUACACUAAAUUUCCUAGAGAGAAAGUUUGACAAAAUGAGGAUACAGAGGAGCACAUUUCAAAUGAAAGAACAAGAAAAAGAACCUGAACCUGAAUAACACAUAGAUUAAUACUCUACCUGACAGAGUUUGAAGCAAUAGCAGUAAGGAUAAGUGGGGCUGGAAAAAGAAUCAAUGAACCCACUGAGAAUUUUAAUUAAGAACUAGAAACUUAAAAAAACAAGUCAGAUCGGGAGAAUGCAAUAAUUAAAAUGAACAAUACCACAUAUUCCUAAGUCAAUCAUCUGUUGAUGGAUAUUUGGGUUGUUUCCAUGUCUUGACUGUUGUGAACAGAGCUGCAAUGAACAUGCGGGUGCAUGUGUCUUUUUUAAGGAAAGUUUUGUCCAGAUAUAUGCCCAAGAGUGGGAUUUCUGGGUCAUAUGGCAGUUCUAUGUAUAGUUUUCUAAGGUACCUCCAUACUGUUUUCCAUAGAGGUUGUACCAGCUCACAUUCCCACCAACAAUUCAGGAGGGUCCCCUUUUCUCCCCACCCAUUCAGCUUUGUUAUUUGUGGACUUACUAAUGAUGGGAUCUUGGGGUUAAUUGAUGUAGACUAUUACCUUUGGAAUGGAAUAGCAAUGAGAUCCGGCUGUGUAGCACUGGAACCUAUGUCUAGUCACUUAUGAUGGAGCAUGAUAGUGUGAGAAAAAAGAAUGUAUACAUUUAUGUGUAACUGGGUCACCAUCCUAUACAGUAGAAAAUUGACAGAACACUGUAAACCAGCUAUGACGGAAAAAAAAUAGAAAUCAUUAUAUAAAUAAAAUGAACAAUACACUAGAAAGAAGUAACAAACAGCAUGUUAGAUGAUACAAGAAGAUGCAUAAGUGACCUGGAAGAUAUAGUAAUGGAAAUUACUCAAUCAGAACAGCAAUGAUAAAAAUUUUUAGAAAAAAUAGAUUCGUUUAAAGGACCUCUAGGACAAUACCAAGUAUACCAACACUUGCAUUAAGUAAAAUGAAUCAAUGAUUAGUAAUAAUCUUCCAAAACAGAAAGCACACCGGGCCCCUAUCAGUUCACUGGUGAACU